GGACGACGCUGGCGGCGUGCUUAACACAUGCAAGGUCGAACGGGGCGAAGUGAUAGCUUGCUAUUAUGGAGCCUAGUGGCAAACGGGUGAGUAACGCGUAGGCAACCUGCCCUUCAGAUGGGGACAACACCUCGAAAGGGGUGCUAAUACCGAAUGACGUUUCCUGGUCGCAUGACCUGGAAACCAAAGGCCGGGCAACCGGUCACUGAAGGAUGGAUCUGCGCUGCAUUAGCUAGUUGGUGGGGUAACGGCCCACCAAGGCGAUGAUGCAUAGCCGGCCUGAGAGGGUGAACGGCCACAUUGGGACUGAGACACGGCCCAAACUCCUACGGGAGGCAGCAGUAGGGAAUUUUCGGCAAUGGGGGAAACCCUGACCGAGCAAUGCCGCGUGAGUGAAGACGGCCUUCGGGUUGUAAAGCUCUGUUGUAAGGGAAGAACGGUACCGAUAGGGAAUGAUCGGUAAGUGACGGUACCUUACCAGAAAGCCACGGCUAACUACGUG
This 502-nucleotide ribosomal RNA is filed under the name uncultured bacterium. Its description in RNAcentral is "bacterial SSU rRNA". It matches the Rfam family "Bacterial small subunit ribosomal RNA", at positions 33 to 507 of the family's 1533-position model. The record is from RNAcentral.